RNAcentral lists this small RNA (1520 nucleotides) under Pongo abelii (Sumatran orangutan). RNAcentral's name for it is "retained intron". The record is from RNAcentral. Lineage: Eukaryota; Metazoa; Chordata; Mammalia; Primates; Hominidae.
GCAGGUAGUAAGUAGUAGAGCAGGGACUCAAACCCAGAGCCCAUGUGUUUGUUGACUCUGCUGCUCUGGAAUCUGCAUUUCUUGCCAAGAACUUUAAGAAUAGGUUUAUAACACCAGUGUUACUUCACUCCCCUUUGUGGACACCAAGAGGAAGAAGAAUAUGGUAAGCUUCCCACACAUUAGUAAGAAAGUCCUGCUGAAGUCAUCCCUGCUGUAUCAGGUGAGUGCAGAUGGACUGGACCCUGAGAAGGCAGGUGAAAGACCUGGUUUUAGUCCAAAGCCAGUUUUAGAAAAGCCCAGGAUGGUGGGGAAAAGCAUAGUAGCCGCUGAAGAGGAGAAUCAAGCUCACAAUCAGAUGCCGGCCUCAGAGCUCAAGGCUUCAGAAAUACCUUUCCACCCUAGCAUUAAAACCCAGGAUCCCAAGGCAGAGGAGAAGUCACCAAAGAAGCACAAGGUGCCUCUGACAGCCGCAGAGGCCCUAAAGCUUUUUAAGAACCAGCUGUCUCUAUACGAGCAAAGUGAAAUCCUGGGCUACGCGGAGCUGUGGUUCCUGGGGCUUGAAGCCAAGAAGCUCGACAUGGCUCCUGAGAAAUUGAGCAAGACGAGUUUUGAUGAUGAGCAUGGCUCCUAUCUGAAGGUCCUGCAUGAUCACAUUGCCUACCGCUAUGAAGUUCUGGAGAUGAUCGGGAAGGGGUCCUUUGGACAGGUGGCCAAGUGCUUGGAUCACAAAAACAAUGAGCUGGUGGCCCUGAAAAUCAUCAGGAACAAGAAGAGGUGUGGCUUGGGGGAUGACACAGGCCACAGAGGAGGGACUGCGUGACUCUGGCCCCUGCAGAAGGCCAGCCCUUCCUGACUGUGCCUCUCCCUCCAAUCUUCCCUUUUGUUUUCCCUUUUCUGUUUCUACCCAUCUUAUUCCAUGAGGGGGCAAAGAGGAGAUUUCACCAGCAGGCCCUGAUGGAGCUGAAGAUCCUGGAAGCUCUCAGAAAGAAGGACAAAGACAACACCUACAAUGUGGUGCAUAUGAAGGACUUUUUCUACUUUCGCAAUCACUUCUGCAUCACCUUUGAGCUCCUGGGGUCAGCUGCCUUUUCUUCUUAACUCAUUUUCUCUGGAAAAGUUACCUAAGUGAUAGUGUUUGAGGUCAGAACACUAGAUUUCUCUGGAUGUGAAUAUUUAGUAACUAGAAUGGACAUGACAGUCACUCAGUUAUCCAGAAUGCCCAGGAGCAAGGAGGCUGGGAUGAAAGCAGGCCAUCUUGGUAUGCCUGUCACCUGCCAGCAUACCUGUGAUGUACUUCCCUGGUGCUGGGUACUAAGCCAGGUGACAUGACCAAAACAAGGUCUCUUUCCUCAAGAGCUAAACUGAAAUAGUCAAAAAGGACAUUUCUUUGUUUGCGAUCAUUUUCCCCACUCAUUGGCUUUCUGGCCUGAUUGUGCAGAGGCUGAAUCCCAAAGGAACAGGCAGCUGGCUGCUCAGAGUGGGAAAAGGGUUUUGAUUUUGAGUAAAUAAGGAUAACAGCA